GUGAGGAGCUGGGCAAGGGGGGGCCCACAGGUCUCUGGCACAGCCUGAAACGGCCUGCUGCACAUAGCUGAGGACCUGAGAUGAGGCCUGGCCUCUGUGAGCAGAGCCUUGCUACCUACCCAGGGGCUGUGCGUCUCCAUCUCGCUCCAUUUCUGGCCCCUGGCCAGGGGAGGGGGCUCAGCUACCCUGGGCUUUUAGUGGCCCACCCUAUCAGAGAAUCUGCAGAAAUGGCCUGUGAGGGCCUCUUCUGAGCACUUCCGGCUCCUGUUCCCCAGCCCCUGCCUUCCUGCUGGGCGCUCCUUGGGUGGGGAGGAUUUGGGGAUCAGCCUGGCCAGCUGGGGUGGAGUGUAGACCUGGCAAGGGCAGGUGUGUGCCCAUCUUUGUGGCCAUUCUUGUCUUGGCUGCUGCUGACUCCCCACAGGGGAGCCGGGGUGGUCUGUGCCUGUCCGGGAUGAGGAUGGCGAGGAUGGUGGUAGGAACGUAGGUGGGAGGGGUGACGCCUGGCCAUGCAAAUGAGUCCUUUCCUUUCUCCUCCUAAGACAUGCCCUGCUCGGCUCCCUGGAGCAGCCUCUCGUCCACCCCUAGGAGACACAUGGAUUUUGUUCUUCUGUUUGUGCAGAGGAGAAGACAAGGUCCACCGGGAACACGAUGCUGAGAAGGAUGGUGGGCCAGAGUCCAGGCAGCCCAGCGAGCUCGCCCACCCCGCGCGCCGGGGCCCGGCGAGAAGGUUCGAGCUGUUGGCGGGGAGAAAGACGGCGAGACCCGGAGAGGCCGCUCACUGGAUUCGCCCCGGCCCGGCCCCGAGCGCAGUUACCCGUCCCGGGCGGGAGCUGCCGCCGACGCCUGCCGCUCCUCGGCCGCCGCCGUCUCCGCCUCCGCUCCCCAGCGUUGCCCGUUCCCGCCUUCUCCUCGGUGCCCGCGGGCCCCACACGCCGCUGCCUGGGGGAGGAGGGCGCGGGGACGUCGCCAAAGGUGCCGGGCAAGUUCCGGAGCACCGCGGGCCGGCUGGGAGCCGAGCGUCCGCGGGGUCAGCUGCGGGGCGCCCAGCUCCUGCUCCCCCGGACCGAAACGGGCACGACUGUCCCCGCGCCUGCAGCAGCUGCCUCCGCGCGUAUCCGCGCUCGGCUCGGGCACCCGGCGAUUAUCACUGGGGCGCGCGGUGACGUCACCGGCCCCAGCUCCGCCGCCGCCUCCCCGAGGUGUCCUUGAGAACUGCGGGGCACGCGCGCCGCGCACACGCGCACACACGCACUGCGCGCCCGGUGCCUCCCGCGCACACGCCGCGUCCCGCCCCGCGCGCUCCUCUGCUUACAUGGACGCCGCCCUCGAGCAUCCUGGACCGUGCCCGGCGCCCUGUGGCCACACGGAUGACCAAGGAAACACCUCUCUCUCUCACACGCUCCAACCCCGCCCGCGCCCACGCGGGUGCUCCUCCUGCAGCCCGCCGGCCACAGCCGCUCUGGGCACACACUGACACCCACCAGCCACGCCUCGACCGCACACAGCCAGCCGCGCCCGCAGACGCUCCUCUGAACUCAGACCUUCACCGCAGGUUCCCGCCGUCAUUUCCCAGCAGCCCCUCCAGCCCCCGGAGGAAGGGAAGGGACUUGCGGAGGGAGCACAGCGCCCACGGGGCACAGGCCUUGCUGGGUGGUUAUGCGGAGGAGAGAGACAGCGACCCCUCGUCAAAGACGGCUCCCUUUUCUCACUGUGUCCUGACUGGGGCGAGGCGGGGGGAGUUCUUGCCCCCAGAGACCACGGAAGCGCAGGCGACAGACACCUCAUGGGCUGACUGCGGGGCGAGUGCCCUCCCCUUAGGGUCCUUCGGAGGGCUGACCCUGAUCUGUCUCUCUAGGGCCAAGGAUCAGCGGCUUUCCUAAGUCACACCGCCUCAUGCCUCCCCCAUGGGUCUUUGUUGCGGUGCAGAGCGUGCGGGAGCUGCAGGCCUAGGGUGGGCCGCAGGCCUCUGCCCCUCUCCUUCCCUCCAGGCCAGCCCAGCCCCUGCGCCAUCUGCCUUAGAGCAGAACCUACUGACCCCACUGCCCUGGGUGUGCCAUCCUGCUUCCUUCCCUCUCAGCCUCUCCAGCACUGCGGGGCAAGGAGAGCCAACUGGGAAGGGUGUUGGGACUCAGGGUGGCUCUGCCCCAAACCUGCUUGUCCUCCACCAGCCAGGUUGCCCCUCCCCCUCGGUGCAGCUUCAGCCUGACCGUUUGGGCUGGCCCUCAUUCCUUCACCCUUUACCGACCCUUCUCUCUCCCAAGGCAGGCACGCACCCACCCCCCCACGCAUACCCCCAGUGCAUCACACUCAGGAAACCUCCCCAGACCUUUGGGGCUCACAGCUCGCGACGGGCGCUCUCACUGGCCGGGGUGGACAGUGAAGGACGCUGGGCAGCUGGCAGUUUCAGCUUCAUCAGAGACUGCGUCUCCCUCUGCCUCUGCCGGCCCUGUGGCGCUGGACACCCACCCUCAGCCUGAUGCUGCUCCCCACAGCAGUGGGAUCCGCUGUCCAUGGUGUUAAAGCUGAACCCUGAACCCGUCUCGACUUCUCCGGCCUUGCCUCCAGACUUUUCGUCCGUCCUCUCCCAGGAAGAGUUGAGGCCCAGGUGGGGCCGGGAGGGUAGAUGCCUGCCCCCACCCUUGGCUUCCUGGAUGGGUUCUUGGCGGCUCCGGCCUCCAGCUCCCUAGAGCUUGUUUGCAUUCUAGGGGGCACGGAUCCUCAGGUUUACAGAUGCUAAACCUUUUCCGAGUCCCCUUUCCUCCCCCAGGGCUGGCUCCCCCAGGGCUGGGGGAGGGUGCUGCCCCUCAGACCUGUCCCAACCCUUGCGCCCCCUCCCCUCUGACUUGCUCCACCACGGAGGCCUCUGCACAAGCAUCGCAGGCAGCCUGGUUGCGCCCCUUUGCUUUUUGCCAUCCCCAGGGCAGCCUGAGGGCAUUUCCUCUUGCCAUUUUUACCUCUCCGAGUCCUGAGCACCGAUGGGGUCCGAGGCUCACCCCUUGCAUUCCCAGUGACUGGCAGCCCCCACCCUGGCCCGAGGGAGGAAGAGCUGCCCUGGGCGUGGGGGUGGAGUCAACCGGGGUGCCCGGUGGGAAAGAGAGCCUACCUCCAGCCUCCGCCCCGUCCGCCCUUCUGCCUCAGCCCACUGGGGACCUUCUUGGUGGCCUGGGAGCCUCUGAAGGUUUCAUAAGAGUCAACUUACUGCUGGCAGGCCCGGCUCAGGUUGUGCUCCAGUCGCCCCGCACCGUGGGCCCAGCCUCGCUGCACCCGAGCCUUCUCUCCAGCGCUGCCCACACCGCCGCUCCUCCCCAGCACACGAGAAUUUGUUUGAGGGUUUAUUUAUUUGCCAGCUCCGCAGAUGGGGGCAGGGGACUCCCCGCUCGGAGUGAAGGGCGUGGGGAGGCUGCGCAGCCAGGCCGCUCAGGGCUCCAGGUUCCAGGCGGCUGCCUCCGUGCGCACAAAGGCCCUGCGCACCACGGCCCGACAACUUGGAGACGGGUCAGGUGGCUUCGCGGGGUGGGGGAGGGAGGAGGAAGGGAGGGACGCAGGAGACCCCCUCCCCUUUCCCUCCCCUCCGCCACCGUGAAAGCCUGCGAAUAGCGUGGGAUUAAACAAACCCACAGAAACGGUGAAGAAUCUCCUCCCUUCCUGCUCCUGCCUCCUCCUCACACUGCAGCUGCUCCUGGGCACGAGGUCUGUCAUUCCUUCAGAAGGGGGCGUGGCCGUGGCCACAUCUGGGAACAGCUGGCUCACCCUCUCAACCCUUGAC
Molecule: long non-coding RNA, 3766 nt
Organism: Equus caballus (horse)
Lineage: Eukaryota; Metazoa; Chordata; Mammalia; Perissodactyla; Equidae
Source: Ensembl